Non-coding RNA from Pelobates cultripes (western spadefoot toad), 284 nucleotides. Lineage: Eukaryota; Metazoa; Chordata; Amphibia; Anura; Pelobatidae. The record is from the annotation of a GenBank genome assembly.
CUUAUUGUGAAAAACCCUUUUGUCUCUGGUGGCAGUGGUGGGGGUGGCCCAGUGACUGUCAGGUGUAGGGUAAGGCACAAAUCAGCCCAAUUGUAUGAAAUAAAAUGAAUCAUUAUUCUAAAAUUUUUUUUUUUUUAAAUGAUCUAACAAUUAGUCUCAUAUAUUGGUCUCCAGUCCAGUGGAUGUGACACAGAUCUCAGUUAUUUUACAUAUGGUUUGUGAUUCUGUUUGCCACCCUUUAGUGACUGUGUUUUUUAAGCCCUUAAGGACUGAGCCAAAUGUAC